RNAcentral lists this ribosomal RNA (229 nucleotides) under uncultured bacterium. Its description in RNAcentral is "partial 16S ribosomal RNA". It matches the Rfam family "Bacterial small subunit ribosomal RNA", at positions 568 to 796 of the family's 1533-position model. The record is from RNAcentral.
UGCGUAGGCGGACUAAUAAGUCAGUGGUGAAAUCUUUCGGCUCAACCGAGAAACUGCCAUUGAUACUGUUAGUCUUGAGUUCGGUUGAGGUAGGCGGAAUGUGUAAUGUAGCGGUGAAAUGCUUAGAUAUUACACAGAACACCAAUUGCGUAGGCAGCUUACUAGACCGACACUGACGCCGAGGCACGAAAGCGUGGGGAGCGAACAGGAUUAGAUACCCUGGUAGUCC